UUUUUUUUUUUUUUUUUUUUGCCACAGCUAUGGCAUAUGGAAGUUACUGGGCCAGAGAUCAGAGGUCAAAUCUGUGCUUCAGCUGUGGCAAUGCUGGAUCCUUAACCUGCUGUGCCACACGGGAACGUCCAUAAGCAGUGAUUUUUAAAAAAGGAUUCUUCUCAAAAUAACUUUCACAUGUUUGUGAAGUUCAUUUAACUAGGAUUUCUUAUGUAUCUAUGAUACCAUAGUAAAGAAUCAGUGUGCAAACAUUUGCUUGACAUUUGUAGAAUUGAUUGCUUGUUACGUAUUUCAAAACUAACUUUUAGAGGCCACUAACUGUGGUGACAUUUCUAAUACUAAAACUAUAGUAGUGUAUGGAGUUCCAGUCAUGGCUCAGUGGUUAGUGAAAGCAGUUGGCAUCUCUGAAGACGUGGGUUCUAUCCCUGGCCUUGCUCGGUGAGUCCAGGAUGAGGUGUUGACAUGAGCUAUGGUGUAUAUCACAGAUGUGACUCAGAUCCCACGUUUCUAUGGCUCUGGCAUAGGCUGGCAGCUAAGGUUCCGAUUGCCCUAGCCUGGGAACUUCCGUAUGUCAUGGGUGAGGACCUAAAAGAUAAAAAGGCCAAAGAAACAAAAAACAAAACUGUAGUUAAAUAGAUACCAAAGAUGGAAUUAUGGCAAGGAUGAUACAUGGUAUUUCCAGAAUUAUCAAGACAUUAUUUUGAACAUUUAUAGUCCUGUGUAUCAGGGUUUCUUAGAAGGGCCAAUGAGAGGCUAAUUAUACUUUUAAGUAUUUCUGAAGUAUCUACUUUCUUCAAAAAUUUUUCAAAUUUCAGAUAUAAGUACUUUAAACCAUGCCUGAUUCUUUCCAUGAGAACUAAAAUUUUGUUUUUGUUCUUUUGAUUGUUUCAAGUCAUGCUGCAUUGGUUUUCCUGGGACGGAUGUGUAAUGGUGUCCACAUACUCCUUACUUGUUGCCAGGAAUUAUCUUGACAUCUGGAAUGGGCUACUGUAACAGACCUGUGUAGAGAAGAGGCUGCAGCAUAUGCUGAGAGACUGGGGUCUGUUAGCAGCUCUUUUUCUAACACCAGGAGAUUAUUUCCCUUGGUGCUUUAGAUGUCCAUGAUCCCUUACAAGUGAUCAGCUUUUCUAAGAAAACCACUCUCAUAUAUAAAUUCCUAUGUUAACUCUAGCUAUUGCACAUGGUAGAAAAAAGCAAACUGGUUUUGAAACGAAGAUGUGUGUCUGUCUAGGCUCAUUCGCCAAGCUCAGUGACUUGCUUCCUUCCUAUAUUUAAUACUUUUUCCCUCCCACCUUGAAUACUUCCUACAGUAUGAAUUAAGACUAAUUAUCCAUGUGUUUGUAGAUUUUCAAGUAGCCAGGGGCUUUUAGGCAUCACAAACAGUAACUUGAGGUUGCCCAUUAUCUUCUAUACUAUGUGAUCCUGCUCAUAUAUACAUAAUGCAUCUGGCUCCCCACGUUGCAGGAUUCAAAUGUUACUUAUUUUGGGUGAGAUUUUUAGAAAAGUAUAAGAGAUUUUAGAAAUAUACAUCGCAUUUAUCUUGCUAAUUAUUUCUCUUCUAUAAAGUGCAGAGAGUUGGAAUACAUAGAAAGCUUUAGGUAUAACAAAGAAUUUUCACUAUAAUGGCAGUCAUUGACAUGGUCUGCCUUCUAAAGAAGCACAUACUACUGUGGGCACCUCAGCAGAUGAAAUAUGUAAUUGAGCUUCUAAAAUUGUGCAGGUGGGAAUAAAUUGAUUUAGUUAAGCACUUUAUGCGAUAGCUUUUUAUUCACCAGACUUAAAAAAAAUCACUCACAAGCAAAAGAAGUGGAAAAAGCUUAUCUGUAAACCCAGUCUUCACUAAUGGUUGAUAUGUAAAUAUGUAGAUUUCCAUUCAAUUUUAUACCCCAAAUGAAACUGAAAUAGAAAAAUGCUAUAUUUUUUAGUAAAAUGGUUCUUCCUGUUAUGCAAGUAAAUCUCAUCUAAGUCAAGGAUAGAAAAUAAGGAGUUUGACGAUGUGCACAGUACAGCUUUGCAAAUAAUUAGGCUCACAAAAAUUCUAGUUCCUAAACAGACUUCACAGUAACACAUUUUGCAGGUUUGCAUUUAUUCAUGUCACCUGCUUCAUUUCCUGGCUAAUUCCCCAAACACAGUGUUGGUGCCCACUUCAAUAAAUUAACAGGGAUUCAAGCAUCUUCCUGUAGCCAAGCUCAUGUAAUUAACUCUUCAUUAUCCACAUGUUCAUUAAUUCUAAGAUGAUUUCCCUUUGCCUCUGUGCAUACCUCUAAAAGCCCAUUCCUCGUGUCAGCUGAUGUCUGCCUAGGGAAGGUGGUCUAAUUUUUCUGUUUACCUAAGUAAUGUAUAAUUAGCAUAUCUACUAAUCUGUAAAUCAGUGCAUUUGUGGCCAAAUAGAAAGAUGUUUUUAAUUUAUAGCUUAUUUGCUAUUAGCUUAUAUUGUUGAGUAUUUAUUGAACCCUUGUAAAUUCUAUAGCCUUUGGAGGCAGGUUACUGCAUUUCCUUCAGGCCCAGUGAUUGAUGCUUUCUGAAUCUGUAACUGGAAUUUUUAAGCCCACCUGGAUUUAUUUUAAUCUUCUAGAACAUGCUUACUUGUAUAACCAAGCAAGUGGAAGGUUUCUACAUUCUAGUUGCCUAAUCUUCCAUUUACUAAUUGCUUGAUUCAACAUUUUCUUCCAAUCUGAGAAGCAUCUCUUGUUUAUGUUAUAGUGAGAUCAUCUUUGCAGGUGUGUUUUCUCCCAAUUAAGCAAUGGAAUAAUGCAGUUGAUAAAUGAAUGGCUGAAUGCUGUGUGGCUGCUGCCGCAAUGACUAUUGGACUAGGAGUACGAAUUCCAUGUCUAAUGAUGUAGAAACAGACAAAUAUAUUUAGUUUUGCAGUGCCUUCCCUGAGCCUUUAUGGUUCUCAGGUGCUACGUGUUAUCCAUAGAAACUCCAGCGAUUUUGCUUGCAGCUGCCUAAGUGUGUUUUCCUUUUUAAAAGGAUUUAUCUUUUCAAUCAUAGAAUCCUCCCUCAGUAUUUUAUACUUUUAAGUUUUUAAGUGGCUAGAGGAGCAGGACAUAAGGAAGAAGAUGAAAUAGAGAGCUAAAGGUUAUUUGACUUUUUCCACAGUGGGUUGUUGCAAGAUCAAGAGAAGGAUUGCAAUGACUUAUCUUUGUUAUAAUGUACUAUCAAGCUGGAUGCUUAUGAAUGACUGCUGGCAAAUGACGAUUGCCAGAGAAACAAAAGAAAGGUGCAGUUUCCCUUGGAUAACUGUCCUUCUCUUUAAGAUUUUAUUUAGCUUGAGAAUUAACAUUUUUCUAAAAAUAAAUAGCUGUAUAACCAGCCUGUGUUAAGAUUUUAAAAGCUUGAAUUGUUUUAUUUGAAAAAAAAUAAAAGGACAAUCUGUUUGGGCCUUUAAGUGCUUGAAAAACUUUAAUAGCCUUUUAUAUUCUGGAGGAAAUGGGUAGAGAAGACCUUUUUUGAAGGGGUGCCUUCCAGGAUGACUUAUUUAAAUCCUUGACUAAAACUCUUAAGCAAAUUGCUUAAUAAAAGAUUUCUUAAAUUUACAAAAUUUAUAAUACAGCAUAGAGAAUGCAUGUUGAAUUCAGAAUACAAAAUAUUUUUCAUUUUUAUGUUCUAUAGAAGAAAUAAUUUAGUGUAAAAGUGCUAUUAAAUGUAGUACAAUCUAUGUGAAUUGUAAAUAGCAUUUGAGAAAUUCAUGAAUUUUAACAAUAACCAUAAAUUUCCCUGGCCAGAGCCGGGCAUAAUUUUAUUUCAGUGAUAGUAUACGAAUGGAUUAAGCCAUUAAUGAUCAAUAUAGUAUUAAAUAUAAGAGCAUUUUAUACUGUCAAAUGAUGUGUAUGGUAUGAAUAGAUGCAAAGGCUUAUAUUUUGUAGUGUAGCUCAUAAGAACAAAAGAUUAUCUGGGUUUGAAGCGCUCUGGUAUUUAUUGGUAUCCUCUGCCUUCUGAACUGAAAUCUCCCUUAUCACUGUAACGAAAUCGUUGAGAUAAUACAAGCUUUAGAACAGACCUGACUUUGUUUCUGUACCCAUUAUUUAAUAGCUGUGUGAACUUCAUCACAUUAUUUUCAUCAAAGCCCUCAAUUCUUCCAAAACUCAGUUUCCUCAUUUUUAAUAAAGAAAUUAAUUAUAACUACUAACCUUGCUUAUUGUAAGGAUUAAAUAAAAUCCUUAUUUUUUAUUUAAAAAUUAACGUACUUUAUUGUUACAGCAUAUAAAGAACAUAUGAGGUCACAAGAACUCUAUUAAUAGUUACAAUUAUUAUGGAUAUUAUUUUGCUUAGAGUUUAAGUUCAGUAUUGAGAGUUGUCUGCAUUCAGUCAGCUCACAACUUGGGUUUAGCCUGUGAAAGGUUCUUGUCUAUUUUCCCAGGGCAAAUCAAGGAUGCAUCAAGAUAAACAGGGUAACAGCCCUCAUUCUAGCUUUAUAAGGCACCCUCAGAGAAUUUAGUGUAUACCCUUCUGCCUUAUGUGCCUAGGGAAUUCCUAAUGGAAAUUGUUGAGAGUAGACAGUAGCCUAGUAGAAGAAAAUGAGUUCCUGGAGCUUUCAUGCUUAUGGAUUCUAUUUCCUUAUCUAGGGGGUGGGGAUAAAUAAUCUUUGCUGUGUAAGUCUCAUAGGGUUAAAUACUGCAAGACUCUACCCAAGCAUAAGUGAGAGCAGAGUUAUUUUCAGGCAGAUUACUGACACUGCUGAAACAAGCAUACGUACCAUUUACAUUUAAAAUAAUCCAAUCAGGAGUUCCCGUCCUGCUGCAGUGGUUAAGAAAUCUGACUAGGAACCAUGAGGUUAUGGGUUCGAUCCCUGGCCUCACUCAAUGGAUUAAGGAUCUGGCUUUGCUGUGAGCAGUGGUGUAGGUCGCAGAUGAAGCUAGGAUCCAGCAUUGCUGUGGCUCUGGUGUAAGCUGGCGGCUGCAGCUCCAAUUGGACCCCUAGCUUGGGAACCAACAUGUGCCGCAGGAGCUGCCCUAGAAAAGGCAAAAAGACAAAAAAAAAAAAGAAAAAAAAAAAAA
This 5000-nucleotide long non-coding RNA is filed under the name Sus scrofa (pig). RNAcentral describes it as "lncRNA (ENSSSCG00015070693.1)". Lineage: Eukaryota; Metazoa; Chordata; Mammalia; Artiodactyla; Suidae. The record is from RNAcentral.